RNAcentral lists this ribosomal RNA (926 nucleotides) under Vibrio parahaemolyticus. Its description in RNAcentral is "partial 23S ribosomal RNA". It matches the Rfam family "Bacterial large subunit ribosomal RNA", at positions 1923 to 2843 of the family's 2925-position model. The record is from RNAcentral. Lineage: Bacteria; Pseudomonadati; Pseudomonadota; Gammaproteobacteria; Vibrionales; Vibrionaceae.
GUAAACGGCGGCCGUAACUAUAACGGUCCUAAGGUAGCGAAAUUCCUUGUCGGGUAAGUUCCGACCUGCACGAAUGGCGUAAUGAUGGCCACGCUGUCUCCACCCGAGACUCAGUGAAAUUGAAAUCGCUGUGAAGAUGCAGUGUACCCGCGGCUAGACGGAAAGACCCCGUGAACCUUUACUACAGCUUGGCACUGAACAUUGACCCUACAUGUGUAGGAUAGGUGGGAGGCUUUGAAGCACGUACGCCAGUAUGUGUGGAGCCGUCCUUGAAAUACCACCCUUGUAGUGUUGAUGUUCUAACGUCGACCCCUUAUCGGGGUUGCGGACAGUGCCUGGUGGGUAGUUUGACUGGGGCGGUCUCCUCCCAAAGAGUAACGGAGGAGCACGAAGGUGGGCUAAUCACGGUUGGACAUCGUGAGGUUAGUGCAAUGGCAUAAGCCCGCUUGACUGCGAGAAUGACAAUUCGAGCAGGUGCGAAAGCAGGUCAUAGUGAUCCGGUGGUUCUGAAUGGAAGGGCCAUCGCUCAACGGAUAAAAGGUACUCCGGGGAUAACAGGCUGAUACCGCCCAAGAGUUCAUAUCGACGGCGGUGUUUGGCACCUCGAUGUCGGCUCAUCACAUCCUGGGGCUGAAGUCGGUCCCAAGGGUAUGGCUGUUCGCCAUUUAAAGUGGUACGCGAGCUGGGUUUAGAACGUCGUGAGACAGUUCGGUCCCUAUCUGCCGUGGGCGUUGGAAGAUUGAAGGGGGCUGCUCCUAGUACGAGAGGACCGGAGUGGACGAACCUCUGGUGUUCGGGUUGUGUCGCCAGACGCAUUGCCCGGUAGCUAAGUUCGGAAUCGAUAACCGCUGAAAGCAUCUAAGCGGGAAGCGAGCCCUGAGAUGAGUCUUCCCUGAUACUUUAAGUAUCCUAAAGGGUUGUCGGAG